ACGCUGGCGGCGUGCUUAACACAUGCAAGUCGAACGAAGAGUGAUGGAAGCUUGCUUCUAUCAAUCUUAGUGGCGAACGGGUGAGUAACGCGUAAUCAACCUGCCCUUCAGAGGGGGACAACAGUUGGAAACGACUGCUAAUACCGCAUACGAUCUGACCUCGGCAUCGAGGAUAGAUGAAAGGUGGCCUCUAUUUAUAAGCUAUCACUGAAGGAGGGGAUUGCGUCUGAUUAGCUAGUUGGAGGGGUAACGGCCCGCCAAGGCGAUGAUCAGUAGCCGGUCUGAGAGGAUGAACGGCCACAUUGGGACUGAGACACGGCUCAGACUCCUACGGGAGGCAGCAGUGGGGAAUCUUCCGCAAUGGACGAAAGUCUGACGGAGCAACGCCGCGUGAGUGAUGACGGCCUUCGGGUUGUAAAGCUCUGUUAAUCGGGACGAAAGGCCUUCUUGCGAAUAGUUAGAAGGAUUGACGGUACCGGAAUAGAAAGCCACGGCUAACUACGUGCCAGCAGCCGCGGUAAUACGUAGGUGGCAAGCGUUGUCCGGAAUUAUCGGGCGUAAAGCGCGCGCAGGCGGAUUGGUCAGUCUGUCUUAAAAGUUCGGGGCUUAACCCCGUGAUGGGAUGGAAACUGCCAAUCUAGAGUAUCGGAGAGGAAAGUGGAACUCCUAGUGUAGCGGUGAAAUGCGUAGAUAUUAGGAAGAACACCAGUGGCGAAGGCGACUUUCUGGACGAAAACUGACGCUGAGGCGCGAAAGCCAGGGGAGCGAACGGGAUUAGAUACCCCGGUAGUCCUGGCCGUAAACGAUGGGUACUAGGUGUGGGAGGUAUCGACCCCUUCUGUGCCGGAGUUAACGCAAUAAGUACCCCGCCUGGGGAGUACGACCGCAAGGUUGAAACUCAAAGGAAUUGACGGG
Molecule: ribosomal RNA, 915 nt
Filed under: uncultured bacterium
Lineage: Bacteria
Description: bacterial SSU rRNA
Rfam family: Bacterial small subunit ribosomal RNA
Source: RNAcentral